GGGGCUGUGGUUCAGUGAUAGAACAGUUGCUUGGCACCCAGAAGGUCCCGGGUUUGAUGCCCGGCAUCUCCA
RNAcentral lists this transfer RNA (72 nucleotides) under Sphaerodactylus townsendi. RNAcentral describes it as "tRNA-Ala". It matches the Rfam family "tRNA". From Rfam's summary of the family: Transfer RNA (tRNA) molecules are approximately 80 nucleotides in length. The record is from RNAcentral. Lineage: Eukaryota; Metazoa; Chordata; Lepidosauria; Squamata; Sphaerodactylidae.